GGACCGCUAAACAUGCAGUCGAACGAUGAACCACUUCGGUGGGGAUUAGUGGCGAACGGGUGAGUAACACGUGGGCAAUCUGCCCUUCACUCUGGGACAAGCCCUGGAAACGGGGUCUAAUACCGGAUAUCACUCCUGCAGGCAUCUGCGGGAGUCGAAAGCUCCGGCGGUGAAGGAUGAGCCCGCGGCCUAUCAGCUUGUUGGUGAGGUAAUGGCUCACCAAGGCGACGACGGGUAGCCGGCCUGAGAGGGCGACCGGCCACACUGGGACUGAGACACGGCCCAGACUCCUACGGGAGGCAGCAGUGGGGAAUAUUGCACAAUGGGCGAAAGCCUGAUGCAGCGACGCCGCGUGAGGGAUGACGGCCUUCGGGUUGUAAACCUCUUUCAGCAGGGAAGAAGCGAAAGUGACGGUACCUGCAGAAGAAGCGCCGGCUAACUACGUGCCAGCAGCCGCGGUAAUACGUAGGGCGCAAGCGUUGUCCGGAAUUAUUGGGCGUAAAGAGCUCGUAGGCGGCUUGUCACGUCGGGUGUGAAAGCCCGGGGCUUAACCCCGGCUCUGCAUUCGAUACGGGCUAGCUAGAGUGUGGUAGGGGAGAUCGGAAUUCCUGGUGUAGCGGUGAAAUUGGCAGAUAUCAGGAGGAAAA
This 647-nucleotide ribosomal RNA is filed under the name Streptomyces sp. RNAcentral's name for it is "bacterial SSU rRNA". It matches the Rfam family "Bacterial small subunit ribosomal RNA", at positions 41 to 708 of the family's 1533-position model. Lineage: Bacteria; Bacillati; Actinomycetota; Actinomycetes; Kitasatosporales; Streptomycetaceae. The record is from RNAcentral.